AACCCAAGGUGCAUGCCGAGGGGCGGUUGGCCUCGUAAAAAGCCGCAAAAAAUAGUCGCAAACGACGAAAACUACGCUUUAGCAGCUUAAUAACCUGCUUAGAGCCCUCUCUCCCUAGCCUCCGCUCUUAGGACGGGGAUCAAGAGAGGUCAAACCCAAAAGAGAUCGCGUGGAAGCCCUGCCUGGGGUUGAAGCGUUAAAACUUAAUCAGGCUAGUUUGUUAGUGGCGUGUCCGUCCGCAGCUGGCAAGCGAAUGUAAAGACUGACUAAGCAUGUAGUACCGAGGAUGUAGGAAUUUCGGACGCGGGUUCAACUCCCGCCAGCUCCACCA
RNAcentral lists this transfer-messenger RNA (331 nucleotides) under Escherichia coli. RNAcentral describes it as "partial transfer-messenger RNA". It matches the Rfam family "transfer-messenger RNA". Rfam says of the family: Bacterial tmRNA, also known as 10Sa RNA or SsrA, is named for its dual tRNA and mRNA-like properties. Its role is to liberate the mRNA from a stalled ribosome. Lineage: Bacteria; Pseudomonadati; Pseudomonadota; Gammaproteobacteria; Enterobacterales; Enterobacteriaceae. The record is from RNAcentral.